GACGAACGCUGGCGGCGUGCUUAACACAUGCAAGUCGAACGGAAAGGCCCUGCUUUUGUGGGGUGCUCGAGUGGCGAACGGGUGAGUAACACGUGAGUAACCUGCCCUUGACUUUGGGAUAACUUCAGGAAACUGGGGCUAAUACCGGAUAGGAGCUCCUGCUGCAUGGUGGGGGUUGGAAAGAUUCGGCGGUAGGGGAUGGACUCGCGGCUUAUCAGCGUGUUGGUGGGGUAGUGGCUUACCAAGGCUUUGCCGGGUAGCCGGCCUGAGAGGGUGACCGGCCACAUUGGGACUGAGAUAGGGAGCAGACUCCUACGGGAGGCAACAGUGGGGAAUAUUGCACAGUGGGGGGAAGCCUGAGGCAGCAGCGCCCCGUGCGGGAUGACGGCCUGCGAGUUGUAAACCGCUUUCGCCUGUGACGAAGGGUGAGUGACGGUAAUGGGUAAAGAAGCACCGGCUAACUACGUG
RNAcentral lists this ribosomal RNA (468 nucleotides) under uncultured bacterium. RNAcentral describes it as "partial 16S ribosomal RNA". It matches the Rfam family "Bacterial small subunit ribosomal RNA", at positions 28 to 507 of the family's 1533-position model. The record is from RNAcentral.